GUGGGGAAUAUUGGACAAUGGGCGAAAGCCUGAUCCAGCCAUGCCGCGUGUGUGAAGAAGGUCUUCGGAUUGUAAAGCACUUUAAGUUGGGAGGAAGGGCAGUAAGUUAAUACCUUGCUGUUUUGACGUUACCGACAGAAUAAGCACCGGCUAACUUAGUGCCAGCAGCCGCGGUAAUACGAAGGGUGCAAGAGUUAAUCGGAAUUACUGGGCGUAAAGCGCGCGUAGGUGGUUCAGCAAGUUGGAGGUGAAAUCCCCGGGCUCAACCUGGGAACUGCCUCCAAAACUGCAUGACUAGAGUACGGUAGAGGGUAGUGGAAUUUCCUGUGUAGCGGUGAAAUGCGUAGAUAUAGGAAGGAACACCAGUGGCGAAGGCGACUACCUGGACUGAUACUGACACUGAGGUGCGAAAGCGUGGGGAGCAAACAGGAUUAGAAACCCUAGUAGUCC
Molecule: ribosomal RNA, 450 nt
Filed under: uncultured bacterium
Lineage: Bacteria
Description: partial 16S ribosomal RNA
Rfam family: Bacterial small subunit ribosomal RNA
Source: RNAcentral